This 449-nucleotide ribosomal RNA is filed under the name uncultured bacterium. RNAcentral describes it as "SSU rRNA". It matches the Rfam family "Bacterial small subunit ribosomal RNA", at positions 26 to 518 of the family's 1533-position model. The record is from RNAcentral.
AGAGCGAACGCUGGCGGCAGGCUUAACACAUGCAAGUCGAGCGGGCGUAGCAAUACGUCAGCGGCAGACGGGUGAGUAACGCGUGGGAACGUACCUUUUGGUUCGGAACAACACAGGGAAACUUGUGCUAAUACCGGAUAAGCCCUUACGGGGAAAGAUUUAUCGCCGAAAGAUCGGCCCGCGUCUGAUUAGCUAGUUGGUGAGGUAACGGCUCACCAAGGCGACGAUCAGUAGCUGGUCUGAGAGGAUGAUCAGCCACAUUGGGACUGAGACACGGCCCAAACUCCUACGGGAGGCAGCAGUGGGGAAUAUUGGACAAUGGGCGCAAGCCUGAUCCAGCCAUGCCGCGUGAGUGAUGAAGGCCCUAGGGUUGUAAAGCUCUUUUGUGCGGGAAGAUAAUGACGGUACCGCAAGAAUAACGCCCCGGCUAACUUCGUGCCAGCAGCCGC